Molecule: ribosomal RNA, 326 nt
Filed under: uncultured eukaryote
Lineage: Eukaryota
Description: partial 18S ribosomal RNA
Rfam family: Eukaryotic small subunit ribosomal RNA
Source: RNAcentral
CCCUUAGAUGUCCUGGGCCGCACGCGCGUUACACUGAUGCAUUCAACGAGCUUAUAACCUUGGCCGAGAGGCCUGGGCAAUCUUGUUAACGUGCAUCGUGAUAGGGAUAGAUUAUUGAAAUUAUUAAUCUUGAACGAGGAAUUCCUAGUAAACGCAGAUCAUCAAUCUGCAUUGAUUACGUCCCUGCCCUUUGUACACACCGCCCGUCGCACCUACCGAUUGGAUGGUCCGGUGAAUAAUUCGGACUGCAGCAGUGUUCAGUUCCUGAACGUUGCAGCGGAAAGUUUAGUGAACCUUAUCACUUAGAGGAAGGAGAAGUCGUAACA